RNAcentral lists this transfer RNA (57 nucleotides) under Rattus norvegicus (Norway rat). It matches the Rfam family "tRNA", at positions 8 to 63 of the family's 71-position model. From Rfam's summary of the family: Transfer RNA (tRNA) molecules are approximately 80 nucleotides in length. The record is from Rfam by way of RNAcentral. Lineage: Eukaryota; Metazoa; Chordata; Mammalia; Rodentia; Muridae.
UAGCUCAGUGGUAGAGCGCUUGCCUAGCGAGCAUAAGGCCCUGGGUUCGGUCCCCAG